AAGUCCUGCCCAUUAGCCCAAGGCAAAGCAUGUAGGCAUGCCACCCUGGGAGGCAGUUCACAUCAGGACUGCAAUUUAUCCUGUUCUCUCACAAAUAUAUUCCUAGGAGUGAGGUCAUGGAUAUAAAGAUACAUAUGUAGCACAUAAGAGGCUAACCCAGAUGAAAGCUGAAUAAUGAUCAGUAAAAAUAGAGCUGGAAGAUUUGAGAGAGUAGAAAAGAGGUAUCAUGUUCAUAUUAGGUCAAAUCAUUCAAAGGAAUCCAGUAUGGUGAACCUACAGAGAGGUGUCAUUUAUAUGCCAGACUUAAAGGAUGGUCAAGUUGGACUGAUGGCAUUGUUCCAACCGUGCUACUCCUACGUCAUUUUGUUCUCAUCAAGAAAUUCUGCCAGGCAAGCGUUGCAGGUCCACACGUCUCAGCCACAUCUACCCUCUGAAUGCUGGCUUAACCUGUCUGCUGUGCAGCAUCUGCUCUGACAUCAUCUCACAGUGAUCUGAAAGACUUCUGAUUUUCAACUCUCAACAACUUUCCAUAUAUCCUACUGAGAUCAUAAAGGAAGACCUGGAUGCAUGAUCGACUGUGCAAGACCCAAGGAAGCUUGAGCCUGCCAUUACAGAACCUUCCUUGGCUGACCCAUUCCAUGCUGCCAUUUUCUUUUGUUUGUAGUUGUCCUAUGUUGGGUGUGGUUAUCCUGCAAGGUUGUUUCUUGGAAUGCUAAACAGGAAGGAGAGCAAAUUCUUGAAACUUCCUAAAUUUCAGUUUUUGCCAUUAUUUAUAUGGUUUUCGACCUUGAAAGGGUAGACAGACCACUGCGUCAGACUGCAUGCCCUUUUCCUCCACUUUUCUGGUAGAAAUAUCUAUUUCCUUGUCCCCUCUCUGGAACUUUCCCUUUGUCCUAUGCUCUUCCUUCUUAAAGAGGCAUUUCCCCACUUCCCAGUUAGGAGAAGGUGUAAGUGUUUCAGGCAUACAAGCAGAAGUUGGAUUCCCUAAUCCACUUGAUUGUGUGAGUUUGUGGAUUGUUUUUUUUGUAAUGAUGAAACUUGCCAUUUCUUGAGGAUCUGUAGUGUUCACAUACAGUGCUGUGACAUUUAUUAAUAAUAUAUUUAAUUCUAUCAAUAACUCUGAGGUAGGCAGUCAUCAUCUUUGUUUUACAGAUGAGGAAACUGAAGCUCAAAAAAGCAAAAGAAGUGUCCAGAAUCUGAACCUAAGUCUGUUUGAAUUCAAAGCCAGAGUUCCUUCUGCUUCCCUAUUGCCACUAUUUUUGCCUUUUAUUUACAAAAAUAUUAAAACUUCAACAGAAAGGAGAAUCUGCUGUUUAAAUAUGUUAAGUGUUGACUUAAUGUAUGACAACUAUAUGUUAUCUGUAAAUAUUUUAUAUAACCUUCAGUUGUAAUCCUCUUUUUAGUAUUUUUAAUCUAGUAAAAAUAAGACAAAGUACUUUGACCUCUCCCAUGAAAGUCACUAGAUAAAUCCAGAGUUAUCAUUACUGAACAUUGUUUUUAUGUUCACUAAAUGUGAAUUACCAAAGUAUUUAGCAUAUUUCAUGUUUAAAUUUUUAUGAAAACUGGUGUAUAUGGAUUUAAGUCUAAGCCCUGACAUUAACUAUCUGAUGACAAGAGAUAAGUCUGUUCUCUGUAAUCAUAAUCAGCCUUGCUAAGUACUUCUUACAAAUCUACCCCAGAACACUCUGAGAAUUUCUGCCUAAUGUUAUUCUUAAAUGAUUGCCUGAGGCAGAUAUAAAAGUCUUUUUUGUGUGUGUGUGCAUAAGUAGAAUUUGCCAUUUUGUGUGCCAAUACAAAUCUCACAUCUAUCUUUCCAUCUUUUUAAUUUUCUCCCUUACCUUUGAAACUAUUUUAUUCUUUCCCUACAAGCAUGUGUUUAUCUCUUUAUUUUUAAAUAUUACAGCUUUCUAACAUCUGUCUCUAGGGCAGUAUAAUCUUACUGAUGAAAUAUUCCAUGUUUUCCUUGAGCUCUUGUCAAUAUGUCUUCGUGUUAACAGCUCAGCAGAUGGAGAAACAGAAGGAGUAGCCUCAGCUUACCUGAGUGAUUUCUCUCCAGCACCAAGCACAUUGACUGUCUCUAGUAACUAUUGAUAAGAGUUGGAACAACUCAAAAAUAAGAAAUGAUAUCUGACUUUGCAGUGAAAUUUACUAAAACUAUUGGCUGCUGUUCUUUGUUACUAGGAGACAACAGAAAUUACAGCAACCUACCUAGUUUGGGCUAUGCCUAUUUAGAUAAUGAGAGUAAAAUAAACAAUAAUACUAAUAUUGCUUUGGGCAUAAAUUAGCAUGUUCCCAGGUGGUUCCAGGGUAAUAAUGGUGAUUUAGCAGCAGCAGUGGCUUUUUGCAACACGGAAAUGUGGGAGCCUCUGGCACUGCUUUUUGUAAUAGCAUUGUUCUUUUUACACAGGACAAAUUAUGUUUCCCCCCCCCCCACUGCCUGCUUUUUACUGAAGCAUAAUCCUAGAGAGACUAAAGCAAGGCUUUGAAGCAAGGAUGUAGUAAAUAGUGUGAAUACCCUUGUGCCAGCCAUAGGGAAUGACCCACACCCUUUCUUUCAUAUGCAUCUUUAAAGAAACUAUUGAGUGGGCUCAGGUUUGUCAGUAAAUUGUUCAAAGAUGUUAGUGUCAUCAGGAUGCAGAGUUUUCUUUGGUUCAAAGAAACUUGUGAAUGCAGCCUGUGAGUUACCUAGUUACAAAUCUGUGGAUUUCACUUUGGAGAUAAGAACAAGAGGGAAGAAGAGAUGACUCUCUUAAAUAAAAAUAAUGGAGUAUGUGGAUGAGUGAGAGAAAUGGGAAUAGUGCUGGAAAUUAGAACAAAGCAGUGAAGCUUUGGAAAGGAUCAAGAAAUAGCUUAAACAGAGUUUUCUCAAAUUUUUACAUAUAAGUAAGUCAUCUCGGGUUUAUGUUAAAAUGCAAAUUUUGUUUCAGUAGGUCUGAGGUGGGGCCUGAGUAUCUGCAUUUCUAACUAGUUCUGCACAAUGCUGAUAUUACUUAUAAAAUGCUGAUAUUACUUAUAAAAAUAUUUGCAUAUUUUUAUAAGUAAGGGCCUUAAAACUCAUUUCUAACCCUGGUACUGCAGUUCAGAUAACCUGUGACUCACCUUUAGAUUGAUUUGGAUUAGACCCUAAAGAAUUCAAAAUCUCAUUAUUAACUAUAUACUCACAUAAAUCCUGUUUGUCUUUGAGAUUGUGUCAUGAGGUUGUUGGCCUAAUAAUUUAAGUAAAAAUUUCAAACAUAUCAAAAUGUAUACAAUAAAAAUUAUUUAUAUACAGUGUAUGAAAUCUAUCAAUAACAUUACAUCUUAUAUUAGGAUGCUUUGAUAAAUUUUUCAUCUUUGGCAUCUAAACAAAUAGAUGAGAUUUUUAAAAUUUUCAUUUCUAACUCUAUUGUGUUCAUUGGUCAAUAAACCACCCCAGACACUAAAAUUGUUUUUCAUUCUAACAAGAUUUGACAGGGGAUUUGAAAGGUACUGCUAAGUCUCUCUCUUUCUCAGUUCAUCCCUCUCCCCGCCCCACCCUCGCUGUCUGAGCCUAGACCUGCUCUUUAUUGGAAAUAGUACAGGAUAUACUUCCAAGAGCUAUUUCCCAUUCAAGGAGAAUAAUUUCUAUCCCAGUGUUUCUCAAAUAUAGUCUAUAUACCUGUUGCAUCAGAAUCACCCAAAUGCUUUGUUAAAAAUUAAGUUUCUUUGAUUCUGGUUCAGAUUUACAAAAUCAGAGCUCUGUGUUUAAUAAGUUCAGGUGAUUCUUUUGCAGUGUCAUCUGUAAACCACUG
Molecule: long non-coding RNA, 3770 nt
Organism: Ictidomys tridecemlineatus (thirteen-lined ground squirrel)
Lineage: Eukaryota; Metazoa; Chordata; Mammalia; Rodentia; Sciuridae
Source: Ensembl